RNAcentral lists this long non-coding RNA (506 nucleotides) under Ananas comosus (pineapple). RNAcentral's name for it is "long non-coding RNA (ACOM_LNC034600)". The record is from RNAcentral. Lineage: Eukaryota; Viridiplantae; Streptophyta; Magnoliopsida; Poales; Bromeliaceae.
AACCACCAAGGUUCGGGAACCGGUCUCUCAUCACAGGGGACCGGUUGCAUCAGGAAUUACGCAGUGAGGACCUUGGGGGAACCGGUCUCUCCAUUUCAGAGACCGGUCCCAGAACACAAGAAAGUUCAGUAAAUAUGUUUAAAAACAAUCUAAGCCUUCUGAACUUAUUUUAAUCACGUAACUUCACCACAAAUGAUUUUUUCUACAUACCUUAGGUGUCGAUCUUUCUGAAUAAGUCUUUGUCCUCUAAUUUGAAUCUUUUCUCGAAAUCUUCUGCGAUCAACUCUUCAAGACUCCAAACAACUUUACGAAAUUCGCCAACCUAUAAAAUCCUUAACACCCACUAGAAACUAUUUAUUAAUAGUUCUCAUACCCUCUGUGUUGUUGUUUUUAUUUCAGAGCCUUCCACCCCAGGAGAGGCUAGGGACCGCGGCAAGGGUGUCGCGACUAGCUAGAGUGCGAGGAGUUCUACGCUAGGUGGUUGACUCUCUAUUUUUGUUUUUAUU